Molecule: long non-coding RNA, 5753 nt
Filed under: Salvia miltiorrhiza (redroot sage)
Lineage: Eukaryota; Viridiplantae; Streptophyta; Magnoliopsida; Lamiales; Lamiaceae
Description: long non-coding RNA (SMIL_LNC005401)
Source: RNAcentral
GUUGGGCAUUAUGCCGUAUUUAAAUGAAAACAAGUACGACAUUAUAACAUAAUUAUUCUCCCUAUCAAGAUCGGAAGUUCGAAGGUCUGAGACCAAAACAACGUCUCAUACUAAGCAUAUGAUAGAUGCGGAAAACAAUCCCUAAGAGAGUGAUGGAGAGUGAAAUUCAUAUAAAAAUAUGAAUAAAGUAUUAACAUAGUUGGGCAUCAGAUAAUAUUCACUAAGUGAAUUUAUUUCAGCGGAAGUAAACAUAGCAUUUCUUCAAAAUCCAUAGCAACAACCAUUCCUCAGCCUCGCACGUCACCACCAGCUGCUCAAUCUGCAAAAGGUUUUGAAAACAAUUGCAGGGCUGAGUACUAGUGUACUCAGUGGGUUGAGCCAUUUAAAAACAUUUUAAAAAUCAUUUACUGAAAAAGAUAAUUUAUGCCUUAAACAGUAUAACACAGAAUGUUUUUAAAAUGAGUCAUUCCAUGCAUACUAAAAUAAUCUAAGCUAAUAUUUUCCUGGCUCAUCUAUUGGGCGUGCUAUCUACAACUGGUUGUCAUUGAAUCUCUUGAGACAACAGGUUCUGGUGUACGUACACAAUUCUGGUUGGCAGAGUUAACAAAGUUCUGGUUGGCGAAGCCAACAAUGUUCUAGUAGAAGCAAUAACCAAUAGAGAGCAAAAAUAUUUUAAGCAUGAACCAUCCACUUUAGCAUUUCAUAAAAGCGAGCUUAUUAGCUCAACAUACAUUUCGUAAAUAAAGCCUCACCUAAUUUGGAGACAAUCCAAAUAAUUUAACUGAGUUGAUCAGGAACCUAAGUAUCAUCUUCUGUAGGUCCUACAAGAUAAGUUCUCAACUUAAACUCAUAGUCCUAAAAUAAACCUUAAUCUUAUAGUGAAACGCUUAAUAUUCUAUGAUUCACUUAGCCGGAAUUUCAAAAUUUAAUAAAUAAAUAUUUUAAAACUAAAUCUCUUGAGUUAUGGACACCAACAAUAUCCUUACUCAUUUUUCUUCAAUAAUUGAUUUUAUAAAUCAAACCAAUUAAAACAUAAAUGAUUUUAUUAGCGAAAUAUAUAAUACAGAUCAUUUCAUGCUCAACUCAUAUAGUAAGUAAUUGUACUUAAUAUAUGCACAUAAUAUUAAUAUUUAUAAUAUUAUGCAAUCAUUCAUUAAAGCAAUUUAUUAAUCAAAUUUAAAUACAUGUCAAGCUCAAUAAUCAAAUAAGGGCAAGUCAUACUCUUUAAGAAUAAAAGUGCCAAUUAAUUAAAAUCUGAAUCCCAAUUUAAAUUAGAUAUGCAGUCCAUAACAGAGCCCAAAUAAUUAAAUGAGAUAGUCCACUUUAUUAAAAAUAAUAAAGCCCAAGUUUUAAAUAAAAUCUGAGCCCAAUUGAAAAGAAUUCGUAGCCCAUAAGAGGCUCCAAAUUAAUUAGGGCAAGGCCCCAAACUCUUUCUUCUUGUUUUUAAAACACACACACACAAACACACACACAAACGCUGCUGCCCCCUCGCCUUCUUCUCUCCUCCGGCAGACUGCAACAGCGCCGUCCUCUGGCCGCCGCCGCCGCCAUCCCUGACUUCCCUCUCCCUCGCCCUUGCUCUCUCUUUCUUCCUCACCUCCCCUCACGCACACUCACAGACUGAAAAUCCUGUCGCCUCCUCCCUCAAAAUUUUUCGGCGACAGCCACCACCACCAUGGCCGCCGCCGCGUGCUCCGCUCCCUCGAUGGCUGGAGAGCCGUCGCUGCCCCUUUCUCCCUCUGAAAACCCCAUCCCCAAACUCACUGACAGCCCUCCUCUCCAUCUCUCGACUUCGGCAACCGUAGUAGCCUGUGAGGCCAGCCGCCGCCGCUCGAAUUUCAGACGACGGCGCCGCCUCUCUCCUGCAUUUUGUCGGACGGCCACCGCACCCCAGCCCCUAUCUCCCUCUCUCUCACCGUCUCCAGCCCGGCAGCAGCGGCGAAGCCGCCGUGCCACGCCUCCCUCUGUCUCACGGCCCCUCUCUCGCUCACCUGUACACUCCGGCGCCUCCCUUUCUCCUGUAUCGGCCGGAUGGCCGGCAACAAGCUCGCCGCCAUCCCGACGCCGCUCGACUCAGCUCAACACACACACUACACCAUACACGUUUCAAAAGUUUGAAACUUUUCUUCCAUUUUAAGCAAAAAUCUUUAUCUAGUUGUAAAAACAAAGCUAAUGCUUUUUAUUGAAUUUUCUUGCUGUAUUAUGCUCAAAUAUACAUAUAUAUAUGUACUGAAAAGAUGAAAUGGAUGCAUAUGCUGUAUUUCUUGUUUUGUCUCUAAGAGAGUUGAGAUGCUAACUAAGUUAAAGGUAUAACCUUUCAGAAUGAAUCUGUUGAAACUUUGAAGUUGAUUGAUUGCUGGAUUUGUGGUGAGGAAGAACUUGAUGAAUGCUCCUGUAUGAACUUGGCUUUGCGAAAACAAUUUGGGUGGAAUAUGAGUGAAGGAGAACUUGGCUGCAUUCUCUCUUGAGUUGGCAGAGGAGUUGCCUUAAGCAAAGGUGUGUUGGGAGUUGAAAGUCUCUUUUAGGCUGGGCGGCUAGUAGGUAGGUUGGGCGGCUAGUAUGUAGGGUGGAGUAUAGGUAGGGUGGCUAGUUGAUUGGACAAUUAAAACUUCAGGGUUAAAUUAUGUGAACUGUAAAAUUUUUCAGGGUUCGCGUAUUAAAAGCUCGUGUAAAUGCUUGAAUGCUUAAUUAAAUGAAUAUGCAAUUCAUAUAAAUUAAAAUAAAUGAAUUUUACAAAAGUUCUUUUGUAAAUCAUUUUGUUGGAAUUCAAAAAAAAAUAAAUUAUUUCUCUUUACCCGGCAGUGAAUUAUCUUAACUUCUAAAAUCAAAAUUACUCUAAAUUUAGCUAUGAGAAGACGGGGUGUCACAAUCCUUCCCCCUUAAAAAAAUUUCGUCCUCGAAAUUUCGAACCUCUGAGUAUCAUUUUCAGCUUGUAGCUAUCAUAUAUUCUUUCUGGUUCGUAGUGACUCUACUAGAAUAAUAUGUUUGCUUUUCUGAUUCAACAUCAUCCCAAAUGACAACUUAUUAUCACUACGAAUUUCACUUAUUCUAGUACGUCAAUUCUAUAUGGUCGUACCUUCCACAUCUUCUGGUGCCUGAGCUUGUUGUUGUCGGUCAAGUGCAUAUGCUCUUGCUAUUUGAAUUGGCCUUUGGCCUCGUUUUCUCCCUUGAUUCUGAAUAUGCUGUUGAGGUCUGUGUGGGGUUCCUGGGCAUUGUCGAGCAAAGUGACCAUUAUCUCCACACUUGUAGCAAACGUCGCUCCCAGCUUUGCAAACUCCGAAGUGAUUUCUGUGGCAAUUCUGGCAAAACGGUACUUGUUGCUGAGUAUUUCGCUCUUCUUGUUGGUUUUGCAGCAUUUGUUGAUCAGUCCCUUGCCAUUUUCUUUUUCGUUUGUUGUUGUUGUCGACACGCUUAUUGUCUUGAAUACGUGUUUUCAUUUCUUCUGGCAUCAUAGCUUCAAUAUCUCGUGCUCUGCUCAAGGAUUGAGCAUAUGUUAGUGUUCCUUGACUAGCCAAGGGCAUUCCUAUCUCGUGUCGUAGACCUCGCCUGAACUUUUCAGAUCUUUUCUCCUCAGUAUCCACCAAGUGUGGAGCGUAGCGUGAUAACUGGACAAAUAGUCUGUCGUACUCAGUGACAGAUUUAUUCCCUUGUCGAAGAUUCCAGAAUUCUGCUUCUUUCUUGAUUCGAUAACUCUGAGGAAUAUACUUCUCGUACAACUCUGCUUUGAAAUUUUCCCACGUGUAUUCCUCCCAUUGUUGUGGCGACAAUGUCCUCUGCACUGACUCCCACCAAUAGUCGGCCUCGUCUGUUAGUUGAAAUAUAGCACAUGUCAAACGCUCCUUGUCAGUAAGACCCAUGAAGUCGAAGAUUCGCUCCAAGCAUCGUAUCCAUUUUUCUGCAUCCAUUGGAUCUCCCAUUCCAUUGAAAGUGGGUGGGUUGUGCUUUCGGAACCUUUCACUUGCUCUACGUUCUGGUGCACCAGGUCCAUCAGCGUUAGGUAUCAUUCCUCCUUCCCCAGCCAUUUUCUGUAGUAACAACUUGCUUAGUGAAAGCUUAACGACAUCGAAAAAAUAUAUGAGCAAAAAUAACGAAGUAUGUUGCAAGAGAGACAACAACACACAUGAAGGUGUGUGAAUGAACGACUCAUACAUCAAGGUAUGAAAAUUUAUGUUUAUGCCUCAAAAGAAAGCUCUCAAGGGUAUUUAGAAAAAAAUAAGGUCCUUAAGGUCUUUCCAAAAGGAUUUAUAUAUAUCCAGAAUAUCAAGGCUUUUGAACACAAGAAAUAAGGCUCUUCAAUGAUUUAUAUAUAGGAUACAUAUAUGUCCAAAAGUAUUGGGGCUUUUAAUCGAAAGAAAAUAAAGGUCUACAAUAGGUUUGCGUUUAGAAAGUGUGUGUAUAUAUACAUAUAUAGAUAUCCGGUAACUCUACUAUAUAGUGGGAUAUUAUGCUUGUAGCUUCAAAUUCUUGUUAGCUUGUGGCGAGGUUCCGUUAGUUCCAUUCCACCUAUCUUUUCUGAUUGGUACACGUUCUUGUGACGCCCUUGAGUCUUCCAUACUUGUAGAGUGCGUGGAACCAUUCAUGCGUCUUUCUGCUUAUCCUGGGCUUGUUUCUUCGUGUCUUGAUCUUCUCUUUUGUCUUUUCAAGAUCUAUCUUUCUAAAUUCUAAACUUCUAUGUCUAUCUCUUCGUAUGAUGUCUUCAUUUCUGUCUCUUCGUUCUAUCUUUCUAUUCAAGCAUUUAAGUAUACGGCUUCGUGAACUUAAGUUUUCCUUGAUUCUUCUAUAGAUCAUGCUAGGAGUCCAUCUCAUAAGAUUCUCAUGCUAUUAUCCAGUGUAUUUCUCUAACUACGAGAAAGUUACACCUGUCUGAACUGAUAAUUGAGGCGACAAACUAGGCAAGCCUACUUAUAGUUGCAGGUCAUACAGACAUAAAAUCAUUUUGACAAUUUCACUGACUGUUCUGGCUGUAACAUAUAACUGAUUCUAGAGUCAAAGCUCAAAUACUGGUCAUAAAAAUAUGACAACUUUCUGGUCAUAUAAAUGAAUAUGACAAAUCUUUCUGGUCAUACAAACAUGACAAACUUUCUUGUCAUAUAAAUAUAUAUGACAAAUCUUUCUGAUCAUAAAAACAUGACAGAACUUUUCUAGUUAUUCAAGCUAAAGCUCAAAAUAACAUCUUUAUGAGAAUUUAGUUGUAACAUAAUACAACAAACUGAAAUAUUUCUUUUUAACAAGAACUCUUGCUUUUAAAACCACUUUAAAUACUUGUACGCACUUUAAGUAAAAUUUGUUAAAAUCGCGUACCUUUCUUUCUUGAGAGCGGUGUGAAGGCGAGCUGAGGGUUACUGUGUAGCUUAGAAGUCUAGAGAUGCUAUUCUAGACUCAACAUCAAUGAAAUAGCGGUCUUAGAGCCAAGAACUUUUGCUCUGAUACCAUUUCUGACAGCCCUCAUUUCCCGGGAGAAAAAGAAAUGGGCUAUGUGAUAGGACUACUAAGCUUUACUUGAAUAAAAUAGGUAAUGUGCCUUCAGGGUUGGGCAUUAUGCUGUAUUUAAAUGAAAACAAGUACGACAUUAUAACAUAAUUAUUCUCCCUAUCAGGAUCGGAAGUUCGAAGGUCUGAGACCAAGGCAACGUCUCAUACUAAGCAUAUGAUAGAUGCAGAAAACAAUCGCUAAGAAAGUGAUGGAGAGUGAAAUUCAUAUAAAAAUAUGAAUAAAGUAUUAACAUAGUUGGGCAUCAGAUAAUAUUCACUAAG